This 2986-nucleotide long non-coding RNA is filed under the name Salmo salar (Atlantic salmon). RNAcentral describes it as "lncRNA (ENSSSAG00000110999.1)". Lineage: Eukaryota; Metazoa; Chordata; Actinopteri; Salmoniformes; Salmonidae. The record is from RNAcentral.
CGCAGCGAUAACGUACCUGUCAAUCUCAUUUCCCAGAAAAGUAGUCCCUCUCACAUGCAACUACUUGCUUCUGUUGUCAAAUGUAUUCAUUUAUUUAGCCACCUUUUAAAAUAUUUUUUGUUCACAAAAUAACCCUUCUAUAUUCUUAUUGCCCAAAAAUGAACAGAAUAUUUACAUUAAACAGUAAAGUCCUAAGCAAGAUGGCUGCAUUACUGCGCGAAAUAGUGGCAUCCUGGUAAAAUGACGCAAACCAUAGUUUACGUUCAGUGAAGUGGUAAUACGGUUUCCAUCCACACGCUGUAGCGCCAGCUCCCGCCUGACUGUCUGCGUAAAGCUCGGCGAAUCUCAAGUGGACCGAGAGGAAUUGGUUCAGUAAACGUUCUCUUUUGUUGUUCCUUGACUCGGGCUGUGAUUGCCUGGCGCUUUCCUUCCUGUGUCUUGGGGUUCGGCUCUCGGACAUGUCUCUGUUAGACAAAUCUGCAUGCGUCAGGAGAAAGGAGACUAUAGGGGAAAUGGAGUACUAUAGUAGCAACAUAAACAGAGGACACCUGGGCUGUCAUAAAGACAAUCACCUUUAUGCAGUAUCUAGGUGAGAGUGCGAUGAGGAGAGGAGCCAGAGAGUGAGGCGAUGGGCUGCACCUCUGCUAAGCAGGUGUCGGCCGUGCCCAGCGAUGAGGAGGGCCGGGGCAAGGCCUACAGCAACGGAGACCUCUUCACCGACGAGUACAAGAUGAAGGGAGUGGAGGAGGUGAAGUACAUGCGUGGAGAGGAGGACCGGGUGAACGCACGCAACCAGGAGAACCUGGAGAAGACCUCUUUACAGUACAGGGGGAAACCGCACAAAGAAGGCUCUGGAGCCAACGCCAACAGGACAAAUAUCCACACAUCAGAGAGCCAGCAGGAGUUCUUCAGGAUGUUGGAUGAGAAGAUUGAGAAGGGACUGGACUACUGUUCAGAGGAAGAAGAGGCAGAGGAUGGGACAUAGCAAACAAGGCCUGACUCAACCCCCUACAGAGAGCCUCCCAGAGUGUGUGCGAGUGCAUGUUCGUCUGAAUCAGUGUGUGUAUGUUCCACUGCCUUUGUAUGUGAUUCUGUAUGUGUCUGUGUGAGCAUGUAGGUUUUUGGUGUGUGAAAGAGCGAUGGAUAGCUAUUCUCAAAGACUGUUGCCCCCCUCUUGGCUGUCGUCCCAUUGGGCCCCUGAGUGGAUUACUGGAGGGAGAGACGAACGAGGAGACAUACAGACAGACAUGUGGACUCACUACCCUGCAGGACUAUGGAGAGAUGCACAUGGAGACAGACAAACGGACAUGUGGACUCACUGCCCUGCAGGACUAUGGAGAGACCCUCCCCUCUAUCCCAACUACCACCCCAGUGAACUGUACUGUGGUCCCUGGUCCAGCUUUGUGUAUACCACCCCCUCAUCACUACAACAUGGAGAAGGAGGACGGACAGAGGAAGAAUGAGCCUUACGGCAGUCUGGGAGACACCCUCCUGGCUUCCACCCUCCAUGGCCCUGACUACUGUGCUUUGCCUGUGAGGAGCAGAGAUGUGGAUAGAGAAAGAGGGGUGCUGGGGAGGGGGUGGUACUUCCAUAACCCCCAUCACAGAGGCUCGCUGCUGCAGUGGGCCAGAGAGGAUCCGAGAGAGGGAAGGGGUAGGGGGAGGGAGGGAGGGAGGGAAAGAAAAAUCUAGAUAUUUUAAUAAGAGAAAGAAGAGUCAGUGAGUGGCUUAUUUUGAAAUUCUGAACUCCUGCCUUUUUGAAGGACUUUUUUAUUAUGUUGAUCCAGUUCAUUAUUUUUGGUUUAUUUUAAUGUUUUUUUUUUUAAAUUAUUAUUAUUUGGCUUCUAUCAUAGUGCAUCACCUCCUGCAGGCUACAGCUCUAUAGGUCAGAGUUCCUGUGUCACUACACCUGUCCUCUUAAAUAUACCCUCAACGCUAAUAUACCAGACCCUGGCUAUGUGAAACACACUCCACUUCAUAUUCAUAGAUGCAGACACAGAAGUGCACACUCAUACUUUCAGAUACACACAGACAAAUGCAGAUAGACUCAUACACACACAUAUGCCAUUGUAUUCCUGUCGUUCUUUAGCCGCGUGUUAUGUAAGUAUGUUAAUAGGCUGUGAUGUUGAGGGUUUUGGGUGAAUGUUGGAACCAGCAGCUGUGGGUUUCUGCUGCUGGACUUCUUCAUGUUCACUUGUUGUGUUUAUUACUCUUUCCUCUGCAUUGGUAGCCCAGCCUCCACUUCUCUUCAACUCAGCAGUAUUGAUGCUUACUGGCAGCGUGGAGUCACCCUCUGUUGACACACACACACCCACACACCGCCUUUUCAUGGAAGUGAGAAGUGAGAUUUAAAGGAAAAGAGGUGUGGUUGCCUGGGAGACAAAGCCCUGAACGUUCUUCUGUCAUCAUUACUGGAUCGUUCCUUUUUCAUUUGAUUUUCAGUACUUUUUGUUUUUCUAUUAAAAAUAAAAACACAGGAGCUGUUCAUCUGCUGUGUGUAUCUAUCAGUGGUGGAAAAAGUACCCAAUUGUCAUACUUGAGUAAAAGUAAAGAUACCUUAAUAGAAAAUGACUCAAGUCAAAGUCACCCAGUAAAUUACUACUUGAGUAAAAGUCUAAAAGUAUUCGGUUUGAAAUAUACUUAAGUAUCAAAAGUAAAAGUAUGAAUAAUUAAAAAAUUACAAUUAUUAAGCAACCCAGACUGCACAGUUUUUUAUUUACAGAUAGCUAGGGGCACACUCCCAACAGUCAGACAUCAUUUACAAACGAUGCAUUUGUUUAGUGAGUCCGCCAGAUCAGAGGCAGUAGGGAUGACCAGGGAGGUUCUGUUGACAAGUGUGAAUUUUACAAUUUUCUGUCCUGCUAAGCAUCCCAAAUGUAAGAAAUACUUUUGGGUGUCAGGGGAAAAUGUAAGGAGUAAAAAGUACAUUAUUUCCUUCAGGAAUGUAGUGAAGUAAAUGUUGUCAAAAAUAUAAAUCGUAAAGUAC